This is a long non-coding RNA of Balaenoptera ricei (Rice's whale), 668 nucleotides long. RefSeq lists it as uncharacterized. Lineage: Eukaryota; Metazoa; Chordata; Mammalia; Artiodactyla; Balaenopteridae. The transcript has 3 exons. The record is from RefSeq and is a predicted model, not a curated record.
GGGAGGCUGGCAAGACACACACUGAUACAUCGAAACAAUGAAAUAUGGGAGUCAGGAGGUGGCCAAUGCUCCGGAGAAAACCGAAGCUGAUUAAGGACAGCAAGAAGGCUGCCGUCUGCAAGCCAGGACGGGGGUUCUCACCAGGAACGGAAUCUGCCAGCACCUUGAGCUUGGACUUCCAGCCUCCAGAACUCUGAGAGCGGCCCUGCCAGCACCGCCUCAACCGCGACAGUCAAGCUAGGUCUCUAAAAUACGAGGGCAGGGGGAUACCAGCUUGAAGAUGGAAGAAACCGGAGCACGAUUAAACAAGCACAAACGAACUACUGAGAAAUAAGGACGUGCCUGUCGACAAGCACCAGCUCCAGUUCUAACAACACCGAAACCAGUGAACUAUGAAUUUUCCAACUCAAAAACGUAGUGUUCUAAGGCCGCUGAAAGAUGGCAUGAAGAAAGUAACGACCUGUGGUCAGAAGAAGUAACGGUAACGGGGAAUGAUUUUUCUAAAUGAAAUGAAACAGUGCAUUCUGAAGUGUGUGCUUUUAAAAGUGAAAGCCCUGCACUCCCUCCCUCUCUCCCAUCAGUGGUUUUCAUACACACACGCGCACACGCACUCUCACCCUCACACACACAAAGCACUCUGGUCAUCAUUUCACAUUUUUCAGGUCUCU